This 633-nucleotide ribosomal RNA is filed under the name Pristimantis sp. QCAZ 29206. RNAcentral describes it as "partial 16S ribosomal RNA". The stretch from base 462 to 628 matches the Rfam family "Bacterial large subunit ribosomal RNA", at positions 1785 to 2014 of the family's 2925-position model. The record is from RNAcentral. Lineage: Eukaryota; Metazoa; Chordata; Amphibia; Anura; Strabomantidae.
UCUCAAGAAAAGAAUUUAGUUCAGCCUAAAGUAAUCCCUACCCCACUAUGUACCCCCCCCAUUUUUUAGAGUAAUUCAAAUGAGGUACAGCCCAUUUGAUACAGGAUACAACCUUCACUAACGGGUAAUAGCCCUUUAACAUAUUUAAGUAGGCCUAAAAGCAGCCACCUUUAAAAAAGCGUCAAAGCUUAACUCUGUUCACUUUAAUUCAAAGACUUAUAUUGACCCCUUUAACCGUAUUGAGAAUUUCUAUAACCAUAUAGAACUUUUUAUGCUAAAACUAAUAACAAGAGGAAAACCCUCUCCUUAAUGCAAGUGUAAGCCAGCAAGAACCCACCACUGGCAACUAACAGACCCCCACAAAGCAGCAACCCUCACCCUAGAGAACCCUACUUCCUACUACUGUUAACCUAACACAAGAGCAUUUCAAGAAAGAUUAAAAGAAAAAGAAGGAACUCGGCAAACAUUAGCCCCGCCUGUUUACCAAAAACACCGCCUCUUGACCCUAUAAGAGGUCCAGCCUGCCCAGUGACCCUGUUCAACGGCCGCGGUAUUCUAACCGUGCAAAGGUAGCGUAAUCACUUGUUUUCUAAAUAAAGACUAGUAUGAAAGGCACCACGAGGACUAAGCUGU